RNAcentral lists this ribosomal RNA (377 nucleotides) under uncultured bacterium. RNAcentral describes it as "bacterial SSU rRNA". It matches the Rfam family "Bacterial small subunit ribosomal RNA", at positions 523 to 898 of the family's 1533-position model. The record is from RNAcentral.
GUACGGAGGGUGCAAGCGUUGUUCGGAAUUACUGGGCGUAAAGCGCGUGUAGGCGGCCUUGCAAGUCAGAUGUGAAAGCCCUCGGCUUAACCGGGGAAGUGCAUCUGAAACUGCUUGGCUUGAGUACGGGAGAGGGAGGCGGAAUUCCCAGUGUAGAGGUGAAAUUCGUAGAUAUUGGGAGGAACACCGGUGGCGAAAGCGGCCUCCUGGACCGAUACUGACGCUGAGACGCGAGAGCGUGGGGAGCAAACAGGAUUAGAUACCCUGGUAGUCCACGCUGUAAACGAUGGGCACUAGGUGUGGGGGGUAUCCACUCCUCCCGUGCCGAAGCUAACGCAUUAAGUGCCCCGCCUGGGGAGUACGGCCGCAAGGUUAAA